GAUACACUGGGGCACAAAGGACUGUUCUGACAGUGACACACGGUCAAAGAUCUUCUUUAUUUUCAUAUUUUGAGUGAACAAUGAGUGAAUGUACUCCAUGAAAAGUUUAUAAAUAUGGCAUGUCAUGUAUGCUUCUUAAAGCUCAAAUACAAGAAACGAGAAUAAGAAAAAGUUUGUGCCUGAGUAUGGAGGGGAAAAUUAUUCUGCUUUGCCUUAUGGUGCUUGUGUUGCUAGGAAAUCCCAUUCGCGCUGAGCAUUGCCAAACGCACGAUGAACCAGCCCCCCUGUGCACUAAUUUUUAUUGCCGGAAUUACUGCCAGAAUGAGUGGAACCAUGUCAAGAAAGCCUACUGCACCCACAAGUCUAUUUUUUGCCGGCAUUGCAUAUGCGUUGUUUGUGACUAGAGUUGCACUCUAACAUCAUGUCAAAUAAUGGACAAUGAUGUCCAGUAAUAAAAUCUUCUUGUGACA
This is a non-coding RNA of Aegilops tauschii subsp. strangulata, 470 nucleotides long. The record is from RefSeq and is a predicted model, not a curated record. NCBI's taxonomy places the organism in Eukaryota, Viridiplantae, Streptophyta, Magnoliopsida, Poales, Poaceae.